CCUACGGGAGGCAGCAGUGGGGAAUUUUGGACAAUGGGCGAAAGCCUGAUCCAGCAAUGCCGCGUGAGUGAAGAAGGCCUUCGGGUUGUAAAGCUCUUUUGUCAGGGAAGAAACGGUGAGAGCUAAUAUCUCUUGCUAAUGACGGUACCUGAAGAAUAAGCACCGGCUAACUACGUGCCAGCAGCCGCGGUAAUACGUAGGGUGCAAGCGUUAAUCGGAAUUACUGGGCGUAAAGCGUGCGCAGGCGGUUUUGUAAGUCUGAUGUGAAAUCCCCGGGCUCAACCUGGGAAUUGCAUUGGAGACUGCAAGGCUAGAAUCUGGCAGAGGGGGGUAGAAUUCCACGUGUAGCAGUGAAAUGCGUAGAUAUGUGGGGGAACACCGAUGGCGAAGGCAGCCCCCUGGGUCAAGAUUGACGCUCAUGCACGAACGACGGUGGGGAGGACGAAACAAGGAGUUAGUAUACCUACGGUAGUACCGACCGACCCGUAACCGAACUAGUCUACUAGUUGUUCGGUUCGUUAAUUAGUACGUU
Molecule: ribosomal RNA, 532 nt
Filed under: uncultured bacterium
Lineage: Bacteria
Description: bacterial SSU rRNA
Rfam family: Bacterial small subunit ribosomal RNA
Source: RNAcentral